UCCCAAGUGGCUCAGUGGUGAAGUAUCUGCCUGACAGUGCAGGAGACACAGGUUCAAUCCCUGAGCUGGGAA
This 72-nucleotide transfer RNA is filed under the name Ovis aries (sheep). It matches the Rfam family "tRNA". From Rfam's summary of the family: Transfer RNA (tRNA) molecules are approximately 80 nucleotides in length. Their secondary structure includes four short double-helical elements and three loops (D, anti-codon, and T loops). The record is from Rfam by way of RNAcentral. Lineage: Eukaryota; Metazoa; Chordata; Mammalia; Artiodactyla; Bovidae.